RNAcentral lists this ribosomal RNA (429 nucleotides) under Pseudomonadota bacterium. RNAcentral's name for it is "Proteobacteria bacterium partial 16S ribosomal RNA". It matches the Rfam family "Bacterial small subunit ribosomal RNA", at positions 355 to 776 of the family's 1533-position model. Lineage: Bacteria; Pseudomonadati; Pseudomonadota. The record is from RNAcentral.
UGGGGAAUAUUGGACAAUGGGCGAAAGCCUGAUCCAGCCAUGCCGCGUGUGUGAAGAAGGUCUUCGGAUUGUAAAGCACUUUAAGUUGGGAGGAAGGGCAGUAAGCGAAUACCUUGCUGUUUUGACGUUACCGACAGAAUAAGCACCGGCUAACUCUGUGCCAGCAGCCGCGGUAAUACAGAGGGUGCAAGCGUUAAUCGGAAUUACUGGGCGUAAAGCGCGCGUAGGUGGUUCGUUAAGUUGAAUGUGAAAGCCCCGGGCUCAACCUGGGAACGGCAUCCAAAACUGGCGAGCUAGAGUAGGGCAGAGGGUGGUGGAAUUUCCUGUGUAGCGGUGAAAUGCGUAGAUAGAGGAAGGAACACCAGUGGCGAAGGCGACCACCUGGGCUCAUACUGACACUGAGGUGCGAAAGCGUGGGGAGCAAACAGG